UCCAGACUCCUACGGGAGGCAGCAGUGGGGGAUAUUGCACAAUGGGGGGAACCCUGAUGCAGCGACGCCGCGUGAACGAAGAAAUAUUUCGGUAUGUAAAGUUCUAUCAGCAGGGAAGAAAAUGACAGUACCUGACCAAGAAGCCCCGGCUAACUACGUGCCAGCAGCCGCGGUAAUACGGAGGAUGCGAGCGUUAUCCGGAUUUAUUGGGUUUAAAGGGUGCGUAGGCGGAAUGCCAAGUCAGCGGUAAAAUCGCGGGGCUCAACCUCGCUCCGCCGUUGAAACUGGCGUUCUUGAGUGGGCGAGAAGUAUGCGGAAUGCGUGGUGUAGCGGUGAAAUGCAUAGAUAUCACGCAGAACUCCGAUUGCGAAGGCAGCAUACCGGCGCCCAACUGACGCUGAAGCACGAAAGCGUGGGUAUCGAACAGGAUUAGAUACCCCAGUAUU
RNAcentral lists this ribosomal RNA (446 nucleotides) under uncultured bacterium. Its description in RNAcentral is "bacterial SSU rRNA". It matches the Rfam family "Bacterial small subunit ribosomal RNA", at positions 330 to 794 of the family's 1533-position model. The record is from RNAcentral.